RNAcentral lists this ribosomal RNA (330 nucleotides) under uncultured bacterium. RNAcentral's name for it is "bacterial SSU rRNA". It matches the Rfam family "Bacterial small subunit ribosomal RNA", at positions 568 to 898 of the family's 1533-position model. The record is from RNAcentral.
CGCGUAGGCGGACAGUUUAGUCGGGGGUGAAAGCCCGGGGCUCAACCUCGGAAUUGCCUUCGAUACUGGCUGUCUUGAGUACGGGAGAGGUGUGUGGAACUCCGAGUGUAGAGGUGAAAUUCGUAGAUAUUCGGAAGAACACCAGUGGCGAAGGCGACACACUGGCCCGUUACUGACGCUGAUGCGCGAAGGCGUGGGGAGCAGACAGGAUUAGAUACCCUGGUAGUCCACGCUGUAAACGAUGAGUGCUAGUUGUCGGCAUGCAUGCAUGUCGGUGACGCAGCUAACGCAUUAAGCACUCCGCCUGGGGAGUACGGUCGCAAGAUUAAA